AGCGAACGCUGGCGGCGUGCCUAACACAUGCAAGUCGAGCGCGGGCAUUUCGGGGGUAACCCCGGGAUGUGCUGAGCGGCGGACGAGUGAGUAAUACGUGGACAACCUGCCUUAAAGCUUGGGAUAACUCCGGGAAACUGGAGCUAAUACCGGAUAAGACCACGGUGUCUAUGGAUGCUGAGGUAAAAGGCGGCCAGGAAACUGGCUGUUGCUUAAAGAUGGGUCCACGUCCCANCAGGUAGUUGGUGAGGUAAAGGCUCACCAAGCCAAAGACGGGUAGCUGGCCUUAGCGGGUGGUCAGCCACACGGGGACUGAGACACGGCCCCGACUCC
RNAcentral lists this ribosomal RNA (333 nucleotides) under uncultured bacterium. RNAcentral describes it as "bacterial SSU rRNA". It matches the Rfam family "Bacterial small subunit ribosomal RNA", at positions 29 to 339 of the family's 1533-position model. The record is from RNAcentral.